UACGGGGGGGGCAAACGUUGUUCGGAAUUACUGGGCGUAAAGCGCGUGUAGGCGGCUAUGUAAGUCGGGCGUGAAAUCCCACGGCUCAACCGUGGAAGUGCACCCGAAACUGCGUAGCUAGAGUCCUGGAGAGGAAGGUGGAAUGCUUGGUGUAGAGGUGAAAUUCGUAGAUAUCAAGCGGAACACCGGUGGCGAAGGCGGCCUUCUGGACAGUGACUGACGCUGAGACGCGAAAGCGUGGGGAGCAAACAGG
Molecule: ribosomal RNA, 253 nt
Filed under: uncultured bacterium
Lineage: Bacteria
Description: partial 16S ribosomal RNA
Rfam family: Bacterial small subunit ribosomal RNA
Source: RNAcentral